This 19-nucleotide microRNA is filed under the name Ciona intestinalis (vase tunicate). RNAcentral describes it as "cin-miR-4193-5p". Lineage: Eukaryota; Metazoa; Chordata; Ascidiacea; Phlebobranchia; Cionidae. The record is from miRBase by way of RNAcentral.
AUGUUUAACAAGUGUCUUU